Non-coding RNA from Arachis ipaensis, 694 nucleotides. Lineage: Eukaryota; Viridiplantae; Streptophyta; Magnoliopsida; Fabales; Fabaceae. The record is from RefSeq and is a predicted model, not a curated record.
CAUGGAGCCACAAGCUCGCAUCACUUCCGAUCCGUCUAGUCACCAACGCCGUUGUGGGGGAAGACCAGAGCCGAGGCAAGGAGCAACGCCGAGAGGAAGAGAAGGAGCUGCGCCACAUCGUCGUCCAGCCAUUGUCCGACCCGCCAUCACCGGCAUUUCGCUGCCGUCACUGCAGAGGCCAAACGCCAUCGAACUUUCUGCCACCAACUUGGGGUCCGUCGUUGUCAAGACCGUUAGGAGAGAGAGACAGGGCCGAACCUGUGCAUCCGAGAGAGAAGGGUGGAUGUUGUUCGCACUGUCGUACCAUCAUCACGGCCAGGAUCCGUCGCCACCGCCGUGAGCCGUUGCUGUUGUCUUAGUGGUCGCCAUCACCAUGAGUAAAGUCUGCUGCUGUACUAGAACCUCUGUCGCCAUGGGUAUUGCUAUUAGGGUCGCUGGAAACCAAUGUUGGAGCUGCCCUUAAUGAUUCUGAUUCUGCUACAUAAGUUAUGAGAUGCUGUGUUGUUGCUGGAGGAAGAGAACUCGUAAAAAAAUGUCAUCGGGGCUGCUGUUUGGUUUGAUUGCCUUGUUAAUGCGAUACUAAGUGAUACAGGUUCGAAGACUCAGUUUGGAGCUGCGGGCGAUUGUUAGACCUUUUUUAUGAGUUAAGUUUUUGAAUUGAAUUGCUUUCAUAGAGUUCCCUCGCCCUUAUUGC